GUAAGGAAUAUUGGCCAAUGGAGGCAACUCUGAACCAGCCAUGCCGCGUGCAGGAAGACGGCCCUCUGGGUUGUAAACUGCUUUUAUCCGGGAAUAAACCUGCCUUCGUGAAGGUAGCUGAAUGUACCGGAAGAAUAAGGAUCGGCUAACUCCGUGCCAGCAGCCGCGGUAAUACGGAGGAUCCAAGCGUUAUCCGGAUUUAUUGGGUUUAAAGGGUGCGUAGGCGGCCUGUUAAGUCAGGGGUGAAAGACGGUGGCUCAACCAUCGCAGUGCCCUUGAUACUGAUGGGCUUGAAUGGACUAGAGGUAGGCGGAAUGUGACAAGUAGCGGUGAAAUGCAUAGAUAUGUCACAGAACACCGAUUGCGAAGGCAGCUUACUAUGGUCCUAUUGACGCUGAGGCACGAAAGCGUGGGGAUCGAACAGGAUUAGAAACCCUUGUAGUCC
This 445-nucleotide ribosomal RNA is filed under the name uncultured bacterium. RNAcentral's name for it is "partial 16S ribosomal RNA". It matches the Rfam family "Bacterial small subunit ribosomal RNA", at positions 354 to 796 of the family's 1533-position model. The record is from RNAcentral.